RNAcentral lists this ribosomal RNA (373 nucleotides) under uncultured organism. RNAcentral's name for it is "partial 16S ribosomal RNA". It matches the Rfam family "Bacterial small subunit ribosomal RNA", at positions 527 to 896 of the family's 1533-position model. The record is from RNAcentral.
GUAGGUGGCAAGCGUUGUCCGGAAUUAUUGGGCGUAAAGCGCGCGCAGGCGGUUCUUUAAGUCUGAUGUGAAAGCCCACGGCUCAACCGUGGAGGGUCAUUGGAAACUGGAGAACUUGAGUUCAGAAGAGGAAAGCGGAAUUCCACGUGUAGCGGUGAAAUGCGUAGAGAUGUGGAGGAACACCAGUGGCGAAGGCGGCUUUCUGGUCUGUAACUGACGCUGAGGCGCGAAAGCGUGGGGAGCAAACAGGAUUAGAUACCCUGGUAGUCCACGCCGUAAACGAUGAGUGCUAAGUGUUAGGGGGGUUUCCGCCCCCCUUAGUGCUGCAGCUAACGCAUUAAGCACUCCGCCUGGGAGUACGGCCGCAAGGCUG